Molecule: non-coding RNA, 22 nt
Filed under: Arabidopsis thaliana (thale cress)
Lineage: Eukaryota; Viridiplantae; Streptophyta; Magnoliopsida; Brassicales; Brassicaceae
Source: RNAcentral
UCCUAAGCAGCAAUUCCAGGGG